This 81-nucleotide transfer RNA is filed under the name Deltaproteobacteria bacterium. RNAcentral's name for it is "tRNA-Leu". It matches the Rfam family "tRNA". From Rfam's summary of the family: Transfer RNA (tRNA) molecules are approximately 80 nucleotides in length. Their secondary structure includes four short double-helical elements and three loops (D, anti-codon, and T loops). The record is from RNAcentral. Lineage: Bacteria; Pseudomonadati; Myxococcota; Myxococcia.
GCGGCCGUGGCGAAAUGGCAGACGCGCUGGUCUUAGAAGCCAGUGGGGCAACCCUUGGGGGUUCAAAUCCCUCCGGCCGCA